RNAcentral lists this long non-coding RNA (6415 nucleotides) under Solanum lycopersicum (tomato). RNAcentral's name for it is "long non-coding RNA (SLYC_LNC000033)". The record is from RNAcentral. Lineage: Eukaryota; Viridiplantae; Streptophyta; Magnoliopsida; Solanales; Solanaceae.
UGUCUUGGAUACUAGUCAGGAAUCUGGAGAUAUUUUAAUAAAUGGUCCUUCAAUAAAAGGUUAGUUUCUUUUAUGUGGUUUGAGAGCUAUUGCAUAGGAGGAGAGUUUUACCCUGUGCCCACCUGUUAGACCCGCAAUCUACUUGAUCUAACUACGUGCAGACAUGCCAAGGACUUGGGCAUUGGUCUUGGCAUGGAUGAUGGUAAAACAGUGCAACACAAGUUCAAGGUGCUUGGGUGUUGGCAAGGCAACUUGAACGUGCAUGGCUUACGUGCGGGCUAAGGGCGUUGGCAAGACAGCAUGUUGACUUGAUGAAGCAAGGCUGUGAAGACUUGGCAAGGUCAAAGACAAAGGCAGUUCACCCGAAAUUGCUGAAAUAAAACUAAGUGUGGAAGACAGCUAAAAUAUUCUAAGUGUUGGAAGCUGGCAGGAUUAUUCUAAGUGUUGGAAUGAAGCCUGAAAUAUUCUAAGUGUUAGAAUAUUAGUAUUUCGUGUAGAUAAGAAUGUAAUUUGAAUUAGAUUCUAUCUGUUGGAAAUAUAACUGUUGGAAAGUUAGUUUUGAACCCUGGGCUGACAUGUGUCGGAUAGGUGUCAUGUGUAACCGCCGCAUGUAACCGCUUGUAACUGCCAUUGUGCAGAAUUUUGAUUUAAGGUGGAAAUUCAUCUAAGGCAAGAGACAGAGUUUUCUAGCCUUAGACUGAUUUGUGAAGCCUUCCUUUGUAUUAAUUAUCGAUUAAUAAAGGUUGGGACUUGGUCCUGUAAACGCUGCCUGUUUAUUGUUUGACAUUGCUGUUUAAGUAUUUCUAUACUUAGUCAAUUCUGUGGGUGUAAGUAGGCUGAAGUAUUACAGAUGCUGUAAGACUGCCUAGAGUGGUGUGCGAGAAAAAUAAAUCGACCCUCUUUCAAUUGGUAUCAGAGCACGGUUAAAAAAUGGUGAAAAACGCAAAACUAUGGGAGUUGGCACGAAAAUUUGAAUCCUUCGUCUGGUUUACUGAAGAUGUUCUGGCAGACCCUACGUUUGUGGAUUUAUUCACACAAAUCAUUGAGUUGAGAGUGGACGCUGAGAAAGUUCAAGGAGAAAUUGGUGGAUAUCGACAAAAUGUUGAUAACCACAUCACUGAAAUCUUGGACUUUCGUGCUACAACUACACAGAAACUAGAGGGACUGCAGAAGGAAAAUGAGAACCUUCGUGCAGAACUCGUCGUUUUGUGUCGGGCUGUGGCUGCGUUGAGUUCGACUCGUGUUGAAUCAUCUAAGGUUAAGAUUCCAGAUCCUAAAGCCUUCAGUGGCGCAAGGAGUGCUAAAGAACUUGAAAAUUUCAUAUGGGACAUGGAACAGUACUUUACCGCUGCAAGAGUGCUGGACGCUGAUAAGUUAAACAUUACCACAAUGUACUUGUCGGGUGAUGCGAAACUUUGGUGGAGGACUCGUAAUGCAGACGACGUAAGUGCUGGUCGUCCUAGAAUUGAUACAUGGGAUAAUCUUAUAAAAGAAACGCGCGAUCAAUUUCUUCCUAGCAAUGCAUCUUGGCUUGCAAGGGAUAAAUUGAAAAGGUUAAGGCAGACGGGUUCAGUGAGGGAAUAUAUAAAAGAAUUUACCUCUGUGAUGUUAGACAUACAAAAUAUGUCUGAUGAGGAUAAACUUCACAAUUUCAUUUCGGGCAUGCAAGGCUGGGCUCAAAACGAACUACGAAGGCAGAAUGUUAAAGAUCUGCCUGGGGCAAUUGUUGCUGCUGAUUCGUUGGUAGAUUUCCGGACGACUCGUCCUUCGACAGAUGUCCCUUCUACUUCGAAAAAUAAGAAAAAGAAUGAAAAGAAAGGGGAAUGGAGAAAGGAUAGUCGUAAAGAGAAUGCAAACGAUAAAGGAAAGGCACAAAUGAAGGAUGGGAAAGACAGACCCAAGAGUAAAGAUGGAAACUCUAAAGGCUGUUGGACUUGUGGUGGUCCUCAUUUGGCCAAAUCUUGUCCAAACCGGGAAAAAGUGAAUGCUUUGCUUGCUGGUAAUGUGAAUCAAAGGGAGGAGGAUGAAGAAAUCGUGACUGCAAUGGCAAACCCAUUGGGAUUGUCCUUCAAUCACAUUAUGGGGAUCAAUAAUGUUGGAGAGAUCUCUAGCACUUCGAAUCCUCAUGCUUCCUUAAUUCAUAUAGAAAUGAAAGUGAAGGAACAAUGUGUGAUGGCAAUGGUUGAUACAGGGGCCACACACACGUUUGUAGAUGUGAAGAUUGCUACAAAAUUGGGGCUGAAGUUGUCUAAAAGCCCUUCCUACGUCAAGACAAUCAAUGCUAAGGCACAAGCCAUUGUGGGCAUGGCUUAUAGUGUGUCUAUGUCGACUGGAAAUUGGGUGGGAAAACAUAAUUUGAUGGUGAUGCCGCUUGGAGACUUUGAAAUUAUACUUGGGAUUGAUUUCCUAAGAAAAUACCAGUUUGUUCCGUUUCCUCACUUAGAUGGAGUGAUGGUAAUGAGUGGAAGUGAUGCUGGUUUUCUGAAGGGUGUUCAUCCGUUUGGAAACAUUAAUAAAGUUGCGAAGAAGAAAGACAAGGAAAUGUUGUUGUCUGCUAUGUCGAUCGACAAAGGGCUGAAGAAAGGUGAUGAAACCAUACUUGCUGCCUUGGUCGAAAUUAAACCUGAUGUGAAGAUGGAAGUGCCUGAUUGUGUUGCUGAAUUACUUAAACAGUAUGCUGAUGUUAUGCCUCCUGAAUUACCAAAGAAAUUACCACCAAGGAGGGAUAUUGAUCACAAGAUUGAGUUGCUGCCUGGUACGGUUGCCCCUGCACAAGCUCCUUAUCGUAUGGCUCCUAAAGAAUUGGUUGAACUACGCAAACAAUUGAAUGAAUUGCUAGAUGCUGGAUUUAUUCAGCCGUCUAAGGCUCCAUAUGGUGCUCCUGUUCUAUUCCAAAAGAAACAGGAUGGAACAAUGAGAAUGUGUGUGGACUACCGGGCGCUGAAUAAGGCAACCAUAAAGAACAAAUAUCCGGUUCCGUUGGUGCAAGAUAAUGGACAGGUUAAGCAAGGCAUGCUGGUUCACAAAACUUGAUUUGAGAGCAGGCUAUUGGCAGGUUAGGAUAGCAGAGGGUGAUGAGCCAAAAACAACAUGUGUAACUAGAUAUGGUUCCUAUGAAUUCCUUGUAAUGCCGUUUGGGCUGACUAAUGCCCCGGCAACAUUCUGCAAUUUAAUGAACAAUGUACUGUUUGACUAUCUUGAUGACUUCGUUGUUGUUUACUUAGAUGAUAUUGUUAUAUAUAGUCGAACGUUGGAAGAACAUGUUAAUCACCUAAGUCUGGUUCUGUCUCAAUUGAGAAAAUACACACUCUAUGUCAAGAUGGAAAAGUGUGAAUUUGCUCAACAAGAGAUAAAGUUCUUGGGGCAUCUUGUUAGUAAAAACCAAGUUCGAAUGGAUCCUAAGAAAGUGCAGGCCAUUGUUGAUUGGCAGGCACCUCGUCAUGUGAAGGAUUUGAGGUCGUUUCUUGGCUUGGCUAACUAUUAUCGAAAGUUUAUUGCUGGUUACUCAAAGAAGGCAGCGUCUUUGACAGAUCUGUUGAAGAAAGAUGCAAAAUGGGUUUGUUCCAAACAGUGUGAAGAAGCAUUUCAAAAUUUAAAGAAUGCUAUUGCAUCAGAACCUAUACUCAAAUUGCCUGAUUUUGAGUUACCGUUUGAAGUACACACUGAUGCGUCAGACAAGGCGAUUGGUGGCGUAUUAGUGCAGGAAGGUCAUCCAGUAGCCUUCAAAAGUAGAAAGUUGAAUGAUGCUGAACAAAGAUACUCAACACAUGAGAAAGAAAUGGUUGCGGUGGUACACUGUUUGCAGGUUUGGAGAGUCUAUCUCUUAGGCACUCGAUUUGUGGUAAGAACUGAUAAUGUAGCAAAUACAUUCUUCAAAACACAGAAAAAGUUGAGUCCUAAACAAGCACGGUGGCAAGAAUUCCUGGCAGAAUAUGAUUUCAUGUGGGAACAUAAACCAGGAAAACACAACCAGGUUGCUGAUGCGUUGAGUAGGAAAGAAGUGUUUGUUGCAGUAUAUUCAAUUUCAAAACUGGAAACUGAUUUCUAUGAUAGAAUCAGAUUGUGUGCUGCAAAUGAUUCGUUAUAUGUUAAAUGGAUGGGUCAGGUGUAGGAGGGCACAAUGAGACGGUAUUGGAUCGAGGACGAUCUGCUCUAUUUUAAAGGGGGGAGAAUCGUUGUGCCAAAUCAGGGCGGUUGCGCAAAGACUUGAUGAAAGAAGCGCAUGACUCCGCUUGGGAUGGACAUCCAGGCGUUGAAAGGAUGUUCGCCUUACUGUCUCGUGUGUAUUUUUGGCCGAAAAUGGAAGACGAUAUAGAGGCGUACGUUAAGACUUGUCAUGUUUGUCAAGUUGACAAGACAGAUCGUAAAAAGGAAGCAGGGUUGCUGCAACCUUUGCCUAUUCCUGAAAGGCCAUGGCUAUCGGUAAGCAUGGAUUUCAUUUCUGGAUUCCCUAAAGUAGAUGGCAAAGCAUCUAUCAUGGUGGUAGUUGACAGGUUUUCAAAAUAUUCUGUUUUUAUUGCUGCUCCUGAGUUAUGCUCAUCUGAAGUUGCUGCUGAGUUAUUCUAUAAACAUGUGAUUAAAUACUUUGGUGUUCCGGCUGACAUUGUGAGUGAUAGAGACACAAGGUUCACGGGUAGAUUUUGGACAACAUUGUUCAAUAUGAUGGGAACUGAAUUAAAAUUUUCUACUACAAAUCACCCACAAACAGAUGGACAGACGGAAAGAAUUAAUCAUUUGUUGGAAGAGUACUUGAGGCAUUAUGUGACUGCAAGUCAACGGAAUUGGGUGGCAUUGUUAGACACUGCGUAGUUUUGCUAUAAUCUGCACAAGUCAUCUGCAACAGAAAUGAGUCCUUUUGAAAUAGUCUUAGGCAAACAGCCUAUGACGCCAUUAGAUGUUGCUAAAUCUAAGAAUCAGGGAAAGUGUCCAGCAGCAUACAGAGUUGCAAGGGACAGACUUGAAAUGUUAUCCGAGGCACAAGAUAGUUUGCGCAAGGCUCAGCAGCGCAUAAAGAAGUAUGCUGACCAACAUCGUCGCUCAGUUGAGUUCAAUGUGGGUGACAAGGUGUUGCUGAAACUUACCCCACAAAUCUGGAAACAGAUUGUAAGUAAGACCAGACAUCGGGGUUUGAUACCUAAGUAUGAUGGUCCAUUCGAAGUGGUAAAACGAGUGGGCGAAGUUGCUUAUAGGUUGAAGCUGCCAGAAAGGUUGAAAAUUCACCCCACCUUCCAUGUGAGUUUCUUGAAACCUUACUUUGCAGAAGAAGAUGAUCCGGACAGGAACAAAUCAAAGAGGGCUCCUCCAUCAGUACCUACAUAGUAUGAUGCUGAAAUUGAGAAGAUCCUUGAUCACCGGGUUUUGGGCACGAGUAAGAAGAAUACUAAGACUGAGUUCUUGGUCCAUUAGAAAGGCAAGAGUGCAGCAGAUGCUGUUUGGGAGAAAGCAAAAGACCUACGGCAGUUUGAUGCUCAAAUCGAUGACUAUCUCAAAAUAGUCUCGAUGAGGACAUCGGGUUCAAGUGGUGCGGGUGGUCUGUUAGACCCGCAAUCUACUUGAUCUAACUACGUGCAGACAUGCCAAGGACUUGGGCAUUGGUCUUGGCAUGGAUGAUGGCAAAAUAGUGCAACACAAGUUCAAGGUGCUUGGGUGUUGGCAAGGCAGCUUGAACGUGCAUGGCUUACGUGCGGGCUAAGGGCGUUGGCAAGGCAGCAUGUUGACUUGAUGAAGCAAGGCUGUGAAGACUUGGCAAGGUCAAAGACAAAGGCAGUUCACCCGAAAUUGCUGAAAUAAAACUAAGUGUGGAAGACAGCUAAAAUAUUCUAAGUGUUGGAAGCUGGCAGGAUUAUUCUAAGUGUUGGAAUGAAGCCUGAAAUAUUCUAAGUGUUAGAAUAUUAGUAUUUCGUGUAGAUAAGAAUGUAAUUUGAAUUAGAUUCUAUCUGUUGGAAAUAUAACUGUUGGAAAGUUAGUUUUGAACCCUGGGCUGACAUGUGUCGGACAGGUGUCAUGUGUAACCGCCGCAUGUAACCGCUUGUAACUGCCAUUGUGCAGAAUUUUGAUUUAAGGUGGAAAUUCGUCUAAGGCAAGAGACAGAGAGUUUUCUAGCCUUAGACUGAUUUGUGAAGCCUUCCUUUGUAUUAAUUAUCGAUUAAUAAAGGUUGGGACUUGGUCCUGUAAACGCUGCCUGUUUAUUGUUUGACAUUGCUGUUUAAGUAUUUCUAUACUUAGUCAAUUCUGUGGGUGUAAGUAGGCUGAAGUAUUACAGAUGCUGUAAGACUGCCUAGAGUGGUGUGCGAGAAAAAUAAAUCGACCCUCUUUCACCACCCAAAGGGUAGCAGUGUUUUCCUUGUCAUUAAAAAAUAAAAAUAAAUAAAGGCUAGUUUCUUGCUAAUCAUUAGUGUCAGACUCAUUCAACAUC